GUGUGGGUAGGGGAGAAAUUCCAAUCGAACCCGGAGAUAGCUGGUUCUCCUCGAAAUAGCUUUAGGGCUAGCCUCGUUUUAGUCUUAUGGAGGUAGAGCACUGAAUUUCCGCGGGGGCGUCAAAGCUUACCAAAGAAUAUCAAACUCCGAAUGCCAUGUAGAUGAUGAACGGGAGUCAGACUGCACGAGAUAAGUUGGGCAGUCAAAAGGGAAAGAGCCCAGACCGCCAGCCAAGGUCCCAAAGUGUGUGUUAAGUGGAAAAGGAUGUGGGAUCUCCAAGACAACUAGGAUGUUGGCUCAGAAGCAGCCACACAUUCAAAGAGUGCGUAACAGCUCACUAGUCGAGAGGUCCUGCGCCGAAAAUGUCCGGGGCUGAAACACAACACCGAAGCUGCGGAAUUGCGAAUGCAAUUGGUAGAGGAGCAUUCUUAAUACCGACGAAGCUGUACCGGAAGGAGCAGUGGAGGGAUAAGAAGAGAGAAUGCCGGAAUGAGUAGCGAGAGAGAGGUGGGAAUCCUCUCGGCCGAAUAUCCAAGGUUUCCAGAGUAAAGCUGAUCUGCUCUGGGUAAGUCGGGGCCUAAGGCGAGGUCAAGAGACGUAGCCGAUGGACAACAGGUUUAGAUUCCUGUACCGCAUAUAAACAGAACUGUGGGGACGCAUGGGGAGAGCAUGGGCCGGGAAUGGAAAUACCGGUGCAAGCGAAGGAGGUGUGCAGCCGGCAAAUCCGCUGCAUGAGCCGAAAGCGUGACGCGGAGCGAAAUGAAAGUAGCGAAGCAUGUGAGCCCUGUGCCGAGAAAAGCCGCUAUAGCUUUAUAUGUGCCCGUACCGUAAACCGACACAGGUGGAUGAGGAGAGAAUCCUAAGGCCGGCGGAAGAAGUAUUGUUAAGGAACUCGGCAAAAUGACCCCGUAACUUCGGGAGAAGGGGUGCCCACGGGAGUGGGCCGCAGAGAAUAGGCUCAAGCAACUGUUUAGCAAAAACACAGGUCUAUGCGAAACCGAAAGGUGAAGUAUAUGGGCUGACGCCUGCCCGGUGCUGGAAGGUUAAGAGGAGAGGUUAGCGCAAGCGAAGCUUUGAAUUUAAGCCCCAGUAAACGGCGGCCGUAACUAUAACGGUCCUAAGGUAGCGAAAUUCCUUGUCGGGUAAGUUCCGACCCGCACGAAAGGCGUAAUGAUUUGAGCACUGUCUCGACAAUACAUCCGGUGAAAUUGAAGUGCCAGUGAAGAUGCUGGCUACCCGCGCCAGGACGGAAAGACCCCAUGGAGCUUUACUCCAGCUUGAUACUGGGAUUCGGUAUUGUAUGUACAGGAUAGGUGGGAGGCUGAGAAAUGGUGACGCCCAAUGCUCCAUACAGACAAAAUCUGUAGAGCGAGUGUUCCGCGGAGAGCGUACCACACUAAAAACAGCACAGGAAAUUGCAGCAGCUCUCAAAUGUAAGCCCGAAAAGCUGUUUCAUAUUGAACUGGAUCACCGCCCUAUUGCACGAAAAACCAUCAAGGAGUAUGCCAUCUUUCUGCGGCUCGUAAUGCAAUAUGCCGAACGCGAGUACGGCAUAGACAACGAUACCCAAACACUCGCGGUUAAAGGUACGCGCAGCCGCCCGGUAGACUGCCUGCACCCGGAAGAAGUAGAGGCUCUUUUUAAGGUGCUGCCGCGCUGUUCCACACUGGAGCAAGUCAUCGUUAUGGGGCUGCUGAAUACCGGAAUGCGGCGCGGUGAGUUAGCCGGGCUGACAUGGGAAGAUAUUGACUUCGACCACUGCACCGUCCAUGUGGAUAAGUCACUGCUCAUAGUGAACAAAGGCUAUCACCUAACGACCACGAAAGAGGAGAACGUCCGUGACAU
Molecule: ribosomal RNA, 1845 nt
Filed under: human gut metagenome
Description: bacterial LSU rRNA
Rfam family: Bacterial large subunit ribosomal RNA
Source: RNAcentral